GCACUGUUGAGGAGUCCCACAAUAGGACGAAACGUCGUUCAGUGC
RNAcentral lists this non-coding RNA (45 nucleotides) under Schistosoma mansoni. Lineage: Eukaryota; Metazoa; Platyhelminthes; Trematoda; Strigeidida; Schistosomatidae. The record is from RNAcentral.